Molecule: long non-coding RNA, 3057 nt
Organism: Populus euphratica (Euphrates poplar)
Lineage: Eukaryota; Viridiplantae; Streptophyta; Magnoliopsida; Malpighiales; Salicaceae
Exons: 5
Source: RefSeq, a predicted model, not a curated record
CUCCAUCUUAGAGCGUAACUUUUCAUAAAACAUCCUAGUAUCCAACUGAUAAUAGAAAACGGAAGGAAACCGAGGCAAGAUUCUGAUUGGAUCGUGGAAUUUUCUUGGUGGGAUAUCAUUUUUCCUCCAAAGCUCAUUUCUUUUUUGGGGCGAUACAUCAAAUCACUGGGCUAAAGAACGAGAUAAUGGUUGAGGAAAGUCCACGGCGUUUACCUACUGGAUCUCGGUGUUUGUGUAAUUGCUAACAAUGAUAAUUAUACGAAGAAGAAGAAGAAUAAGAAGAGGCACUGUGAUGACACUGCCGAGCCCGAAGAAGAAGAAGAAGACUUUGGCGAAGAAUUCAAAACUUGAAGCCAAGAGGAGGAAAGGAAACCAAGAUACAGAUAAUAAAGAGUUGAAUGAUGAUACUGACAGUGUCAUAAACUAGAAAACGAGAAAUCGGUUUAAGAGAAAGCGAAAAGCAAAAAGUAAGGCAGAGGAGGAGCUGUCAAAUGAAGAUUUAGUAAGCAUUGCCGAAGAGGUGAGGUGAUUCAUUUACUACUCAAGAUGGAUGUAAUGCAAUGUGGCAUGCCAUGUUUUACAAAUUAAAGAAUUGUUGAAGAAUUUCAUUUAAAACGGAAGCCAUUCUGAUGAUGGAUAGCAUGAUUGUUCAUGCCAACAGCGACUUGUGAACUUGAAUUGCUAUUUCAUCAUAUUUAAUCACAAUCAAGAAACAUAAGUGUCGUUAAAGAUACACUCUUUUCUGGGCUUAAGCGGUGUGUUUGGUGAUUGAUCCCAGGGUAGCAUGUCAAAGUUGAUGAGGAUUCAAGGAAAAGGCAAACAUAAAGUAGAGAACGUAAAUUACAAAGACAACUGACAACAGCAACUUCCUCUAAGCAUGAUUUAGAAGAGUCUCUCAUUGUUCCUGAUGACGAACAUAUAUCAGCUAGCUGUGAAACACUGCUUCUUAUAGUUCAACUCUGAAUUUAGUAAGUGAACAAAAUAUCAUUUCCACAAGUAGGACAGGGGAUACUGCACAUGAUAUGCUGGAUCUGUUUUUGUGUCCCUUGCUUAAGAAGCUGAUGGAAGAUGACAGAAUUUGUAACAAAGGAUAUGGAUUUUUUUUGCAUAUGAGCGGAAAAAGAAAAGUCAGAAUGAUGUUGGAGGAGGAAUGGCGCCCCCGAUGAAGAAGAGCAUUCUCAAAGACAAGGUUACCUUGUUGCUUGACUGAUUGAAAGAUCCAAAUUUCUUAACGGGGAGCCAUCAAUUAUCCGGAAGCCAUAAUAUUGAGAUGCUACUGUGAUACUCUCAAUUUGUUUCCAUCAAGCAAGCAAUCUCUGGAAACUUCCAUCACCUCUUCACUACAGAUGAUAUUUCCCCAGGGCAUUUGGGGCCUUGGAGGAACAAUGAGAGAUGGUGCAUGCAGAAGGGAUCUCAGAUGGAUGGUGAAUUGCCUGAUUUUAGAGGUAAAUUAUUUAUAUACUAUUAGUGUAACUGGUCAUGAUCUUUUCUUUUGCGAUUAUUUGUGUUGCUUGAUUGACUCUUUAUUGGAUGUAAGAACAACUUCUUGAUUUUCACUGCAGUCUGGUAUGAACCUGUGAGUAGGUAAUUCUUUAGAUGGUCACCGUACUGAAUUGAUUUCUUCUUCCCUCGUUAAGGUUAGACAACAAAGCUUGCCUCUUAAUCCUAUUCAGAUCUGCCUCCUUUUCUUUUAGAAAACAAUCUCUAAAAGGAUAAUUUAACAAUAUUUUGCUGCUAUAAUCAGCACCUUUGAAACAAAGUGAUGGCCUGAGUCUGAGAAGAGCAAAAGUGGGAUUGUGCUCCUGAGAUGAAGCAUAUUUGCAGGAUUUUUUUGAGGGCUAUAGGCAGUUUGGAUUUGAGUGCACUCUAAAUGAUUGGUUGUUGAUAAAGCUCAGGGACGAGGUUUUCAGAGGUUCUAUUCAUCACAAAAGUUGUGAACGGCACCUAGUUGUAGUUCGAUCAUUCUCACCUAAAAGGCUAUGAUUAAUUUAGGCCUUCGCAGUACAUAAAUAAUAAUGGGUGGCAUGAUUCAAGGACAAGCAUGGAGAAUUUGUUUUUGCCUGCUGCUGAGAGAGAAAAGGUGUAGUGGCUUCUUGUGAAGUUAAAGCCACGGCGUUCUAUAUAAGUCAUUCAUGAAAAGCUUUGAGAGAGCAUUAUUGUUAGUUAACAGGUGCAAAUCAGGGUAGUUUGAAAACGCCAUAUGAAGAUGCUCAAAUUUAGAUUGGCAGAGCCUGAAACUAAUUUUUUAGGUAAAAGUUUCCCACUCUGAAACAAAGUGCAAUAUGGAAGCAUGGUCAGGACAGUGCUAGUACGAGCACAGCUGUUACUGAUGUACAUGGGAAUGUGGUUCAUGUUUUCAGAUAGGCUGUAUCUAUGGUUUAAAACACUAGUGAUUUCCACUUUAGACAUGGUUAUUUGCAGCCAGAAAGUGUUCUAGUCAAAAUCAUUGGAGGCGUCUUUCCCCUUUCUUGAAUUUUCCCCUCUGCAGACCCAAUUUUCCACUUUAAUGAUGGUGUUUGUUUAACUUGAAAUGGUAACCUCACACCUAAAUAUUCCAUAUUGCAUAUGUGAUCUUGGCAAUCUCAAUUUCAGUUGUCCAAGCCUCUAAGGCUCUACCACUACCACAACAGUACUCCUAGAUUUUCUUUCAUAAUCUAAGCCUUGGAGCACACAGGAAAGAUGAUAUAAAAUAGGAAAAAGAAAAGGAAACACGAUAUUUUUCUGUUCUACAUAUGCAGCAAUAUAUAUAGAUUCGUAAGGUAGCUAGUACAAAUUGGUACAAUCUUAACUAGGAGAGAGCAACCCUCUAGGGGAGGCUCGUCAAUCCAAGCAAUAAAAUCACUUAUAAGAGUGGGCCGUUGAUGGGCCACUUGGUUACAAGAUCUUGAACAAUUUAUUGAACUAUUUCUGGAAUGGUCUCCUCGGGUCCGAGCCUUUGCUUAACAAACUGAAGAAUAAACUCAAGGGCUUAACUACAUCCAUGCACAAACUAGCAGAAUCAGACUCGACUUCAACAUGCAUAAUAAAUAUACAUACAUGUUAUAUAUAUAUAUAUAU